Long non-coding RNA from Symphalangus syndactylus (siamang), 697 nucleotides. RefSeq lists it as uncharacterized. NCBI's taxonomy places the organism in Eukaryota, Metazoa, Chordata, Mammalia, Primates, Hylobatidae. The record is from RefSeq and is a predicted model, not a curated record.
CCCGGCCUGGAGUCCGCUGCACCCGGAGCGGGUGGGCGGCCCGCGUUCCUUAGCCGCGGUCCUGCGGACCCUCCCCUCACUCCCGCGGUCCCCUCGGGUCGCGAACCCCGCGUUCGGCGGACGUGGGGCGCGGACCGAGCGCCUUCCUCAGAGUCGAGGUCUCCCUCCCCUCCCUCGUGACCCGCCCUGGCCCACCCUGCGAGACGACGGGUCUUUACUUUGGGGUCACAUUUGAGGGAGAAAUAACCUUUCCUGAAGCUCAUUAGAAACAAGCUGUCACCAAUGCAUCAUCACCUAACUGGUCUCCCUUUGUUGUACAGGCUGCUUUCAAACUCCUGGCCUCAAGCAAUCUCCUGCCUCAUGCCUCCCAAAGUGCUGGGAUUACAGGCCUGAGCCACCAUCUUUUGCUUUCAAUGAUAAAAUACAGAAACACAGUGGAGGUGAAAGCAACUCCAUCUUGGAUGCUAAUCCGCCAAGAUAACUUCUGAUUAAUGCCUCUUCCAGGAAGAAGCCCUGGAUCGGGGGUUAUGGCGCAGCAAACCUUAUAUCCUCUGAUGACCACCCUGAGACUGUGGCUUCUGUUGACAGAAGAGAAGAGAAGGAGAAUCGAGUUUCUUUCCAAUAAAUAAGGGCAUUGGCUUGAUUGUACCUUCACCCAGAAACCUCUGAUUUCUCAUCCUUUAAAACCAUACCAACC